GGGGUUUGACAUGCAGGUGGUACUGAUCUGAAAGGGGAGGGACCCUUAUCUUUGAUGGGGGAGCCUGCAC
RNAcentral lists this ribosomal RNA (70 nucleotides) under uncultured bacterium. RNAcentral describes it as "partial 16S ribosomal RNA". The record is from RNAcentral.